Molecule: ribosomal RNA, 472 nt
Filed under: uncultured bacterium
Lineage: Bacteria
Description: bacterial SSU rRNA
Rfam family: Bacterial small subunit ribosomal RNA
Source: RNAcentral
ACUCCUACGGGAGGCAGCAGUAGGGAAUCUUCCACAAUGGACGAAAGUCUGAUGGAGCAGCGCCGCGUGAGUGAAGAAGGGUUUCGGCUCGUAAAACUCUGUUGUUAAAGAAGAACAUAUCUGAGAGUAACUGUUCAGGUAUUGACGGUAUUUAACCAGAAAGCCACGGCUAACUACGUGCCAGCAGCCGCGGUAAUACGUAGGUGGCAAGCGUUGUCCGGAUUUAUUGGGCGUAAAGCGAGCGCAGGCGGUUUUUAAGUCUGAUGUGAAAGCCUUCGGCUCAACCGAAGAAGUGCAUCGGAAACUGGGAAACUUGAGUGCAGAAGAGGACAGUGGAACUCCAUGUGUAGCGGUGAAAUGCGUAGAUAUAUGGAAGAACACCAGUGGCGAAGGCGGCUGUCUGGUCUGUAACUGACGCUGAGGCUCGAAAGUAUGGGUAGCAAACAGGAUUAGAUACCCUGGUAGGAUAGCG